AAUAUUGCGCAAUGGAGGAAACUCUGACGCAGCGACGCCGCGUGAGCGAUGAAGGUCUUCGGAUCGUAAAGCUCUGUCCUUGGGGCAGAAGGUCUUCGGCCUUGACGGUACCCAUGGAGGAAGCCCCGGCUAACUACGUGCCAGCCGCCGCGGUAAUACGUAGGGGGCAAGCGUUGGCCGGAAUUAUUGGGCGUAAAGGGUGCGGAGGCGGCCUUUUAAGUCAGAUGUGAAAGCCCGCGGCUCAACCGUGGGAUUGCAUUUGAAACUGGAGGGCUUGAGUAUCGGAGAGGGUAGUGGAAUUCCCAGUGUAGCGGUGGAAUGCGUAGAUAUUGGGAGGAACACCAGUGGCGAAGGCGACUACCUGGACGAAAACUGACGCUGAGGCACGAAAGCUAGGGGAGCAAACA
RNAcentral lists this ribosomal RNA (407 nucleotides) under uncultured bacterium. RNAcentral describes it as "partial 16S ribosomal RNA". It matches the Rfam family "Bacterial small subunit ribosomal RNA", at positions 360 to 774 of the family's 1533-position model. The record is from RNAcentral.